This 700-nucleotide ribosomal RNA is filed under the name uncultured bacterium. RNAcentral describes it as "bacterial SSU rRNA". It matches the Rfam family "Bacterial small subunit ribosomal RNA", at positions 55 to 767 of the family's 1533-position model. The record is from RNAcentral.
AUGCAGUCGAACGAUGAACCUGGAGCUUGCUCUAGGGAGUUAGUGGCGAACGGGUGAGUAACACGUGAGUAACCUGCCCUUGACUCUGGGAUAACCUCCGGAAACGGAAGCUAAUACCGGAUAUGACGCACGGAGGCAUCUCCUGUGCGUGGAAAGAACUUCGGUCAAGGAUGGACUCGCGGCCUAUCAGGUAGUUGGUGAGGUAACGGCUCACCAAGCCUACGACGGGUAGCCGGCCUGAGAGGGUGACCGGCCACACUGGGACUGAGACACGGCCCAGACUCCUACGGGAGGCAGCAGUGGGGAAUAUUGCACAAUGGGCGCAAGCCUGAUGCAGCAACGCCGCGUGAGGGACGACGGCCUUCGGGUUGUAAACCUCUUUUAGUAGGGAAGAAGCGAAAGUGACGGUACCUGCAGAAAAAGCACCGGCUAACUACGUGCCAGCAGCCGCGGUAAUACGUAGGGUGCGAGCGUUGUCCGGAAUUAUUGGGCGUAAAGAGCUCGUAGGCGGUCUGUCGCGUCUGCUGUGAAAACCCGAGGCUCAACCUCGGGCCUGCAGUGGGUACGGGCAGACUAGAGUGCGGUAGGGGAGAAUGGAAUUCCUGGUGUAGCGGUGGAAUGCGCAGAUAUCAGGAGGAACACCGAUGGCGAAGGCAGUUCUCUGGGCCGUAACUGACGCUGAGGAGCGAAAGCGUGGGGA